RNAcentral lists this long non-coding RNA (216 nucleotides) under Elaeis guineensis (African oil palm). RNAcentral describes it as "long non-coding RNA (EGUI_LNC064084)". Lineage: Eukaryota; Viridiplantae; Streptophyta; Magnoliopsida; Arecales; Arecaceae. The record is from RNAcentral.
UAGUCAGUUCAAUUUCUGUUGAGCUAACUCAAUGUAACAGGCUAAAAAUUAUGAUUAAUAAUUCACCAUCAAUAAAGACUUAAUCGACCCAUUGUGAUGAGUCGGCUUAAUCCAAGGAUGAGCUGAUUCAAAUUUUAGAUCUUGUUGGGUAUAAAAUAACCCCAGUCGAAGUUCGUAAGAGGCCAACUCUCCCAGGACUCUUCCAGCUUUCAACCU